RNAcentral lists this small RNA (1058 nucleotides) under uncultured bacterium. RNAcentral's name for it is "bacterial SSU rRNA". The stretch from base 1 to 491 matches the Rfam family "Bacterial small subunit ribosomal RNA", at positions 1045 to 1533 of the family's 1533-position model. The record is from RNAcentral.
AUGGCUGUCGUCAGCUCGUGUCGUGAAAUGUUGGGUUAAGUCCCGCAACGAGCGCAACCCUUAUCCUUAUUUGCCAGCACGUAAUGGUGGGAACUCUAAGGAGACUGCCGGUGAUAAACCGGAGGAAGGUGGGGACGACGUCAAGUCAUCAUGGCCCUUACGAGUAGGGCUACACACGUGCUACAAUGGCGCAUACAAAGGGCUGCAAACCAGCGAUGGUAAGCGAAUCCCAUAAAGUGCGUCGUAGUCCGGAUUGGGGUCUGCAACUCGACCCCAUGAAGUCGGAAUCGCUAGUAAUCGUGGAUCAGAAUGCCACGGUGAAUACGUUCCCGGGCCUUGUACACACCGCCCGUCACACCAUGGGAGUGGGCUGCACCAGAAGUCAUUAGCUUAACCCUUCGGGGAGGGCGAUGACCACGGUGUGGUUCAUGACUGGGGUGAAGUCGUAACAAGGUAGCCCUAGGGGAACCUGGGGCUGGAUCACCUCCUUACGUAAAGUUGUUAAUUUUUGUAAGUGCCCACACAAAUUGCUUGAAUAGAAAAAUUAAAGACUGUCUUAUGUAAAUAAGACAACAUUUGGGAUGAAAUCCAAGUGUAGAAAGUAAAUAGUGUCCUGUUCGUCUAGAGGCCUAGGACACCGCCCUUUCACGGCGGUAACACGAGUUCAAAUCUCGUACGGGAUACCACUUUUUCUUUCUGAUUAAAAACCAAAGCUAAGUAAUGUAAUAUUUAGCUUUGCUUUUUAGCAAAUGCUCUUUAAAAAUUUGGAAAGCUGAAUAAAUAAAGAAGUUCUUAAAACACGUUAUUAAGUUAUUUACUUCACUGUAGAUAAUGUAAUAGCAAUAGAGUGUUCUUGAGUAUUCUUGAGGCGAAAAAAACUAGAUAAUACCUAGUUAUUUCAAUUAUACGGUCUGUUUUAGAUUGUAUGGUUAAGUGACUAAGCGUAUACGGUGGAUGCCUAGGCAGUCAGAGGCGAUGAAGGACGUGUUAAUCUGCGUUAAGCUGUGGGGAGUUGAUAAAAAGCAUUGAUCCACAGAUGUCCGAAUGGGGAAACCCGG